GAUCAAGUAUAAAAGGGCGCACGGAGGAUACCUUGGCACUAUCAGCCGAUGAAGGACGCGACUGGCUGCGAUAUGCCCCGGGGAGCUGUCAAAGUAGCUUUGAUCCGGGGAUUUCCGAAUGGGGCAACCUGUUACGAGUAAUAUCGUAACGUUUUUCGAUAACCCAGCGAACUGAAACAUCUUAGUACCUGGAGGAAAAGAGACAAAUUUUGCAUUCCCAAAGUAGUGGCGAGCGAAAUGGGAGGAGCCUAAACCUAUACAAUGCCAAGCUUGCAGGUUUUGUUGUAUAGGUGUCGCGGGGUAUUUUUUCUACAAACUGCAAAUUGUAGGGAGAGUAAAAAACUUAUCGUUUAGUUGAAUAUAGUUGGAAAGCUAUAACCAAAGAAGGUGAAAGUCCUGUAAGCGAAAAAUGAUAAACUCUCUUAAAAUAUUCCCAAGUACUAUGGGACACGAGAAAUCCCUUAGGAAUCUGGGUGGACCAUCACCCAAGGCUAAAUACUAGAUAGUGACCGAUAGUGAACUAGUACCGUGAGGGAAAGGUGAAAAGAACCGCGGAAGCGGAGUGAAAUAGAAUAUGAAACCGUGUGCCUACAAGCAGUAGGAGCUAUGACUUCGGUCAUAGUGACUGCAUGCCUAUUGAAGAAUGAGCCGUCGACUUACUGUUGCAUGCAAGGCGAAAGCCGAAGCGAAAGCGAGUUUUAACAGAGCGAUUAAGUAUGCAGUAGUAGACCCGAAACUGCAGCGACCUAGCCGUGGUCAGGAUGAAAUCCCGAUAAUAUCGGGAUGGAGGUCCGAACCGGUUGAUGUUGAAAAAUCUUCGGAUGAACUGCGGCUAGCAGUGAAAAGCUAAACGAGCUCAGAGAUAGCUGGUUCUCCUCGAAAUGGUUUUAGGGCCAGCCUUAAGUAAAAUUGCUUUGGGGGUAGAGUACAGUUUGAACUAGGGGGCAGGAAUGCCUUCCAACUUCUUGCUAACUCCGAAUACCAAAGUUAAGUUUCUUGGGAGUGAGAGUCCGGGGGAUAAGCUCCAGGCUCAAAAGGGAAACAGCCCAGACCAUCAGCUAAGGUCCCUAAAUGUAUGCUAAGUGGAUAAGGUAGUUGAGUCACCAAAACAGCCAGGAGGUUGGCUUAGAAGCAGCCAUCCUUUAAAGAAAGCGUAACAGCUCACUGGUCGAGUGAUUUUGCGCCGAAAAUACACGGGGCUCAAGCAUACUACCGAAGCUAUGGAUGCCCCGAUUUGAUCGGGGCGUGGUAGAGGAGCGUUCCGUUUUAGGUUGAAGUCGCAGCGCGAGCUGCGGUGGACGAUACGGAAGUGAGUAUGACGGCAUAAGUAACGAAAAGAUGAGUGAGAAUCUCAUCCGCCUAAAGUCUAAGGUUUCCUGGGGAAGGUUCGUCCGCCCAGGGUAAGUCGAUAUCUAAGCUGAGGCCGAAAGGCGUAGGUGAUUGGCAAACGGGUUAAUAUUCCCGUACCACCUUGUAGAGUUAACACUAGGAGGGACGCAGAAGGGUAAGUCAUCCGCUUAUUGGAUUGCGGUCUAAGUACGUAGGGGGUAAGGUAGGCAAAUCCGCCUUAUAUUAAACCCUGAAGUACAAAUGGGACCCUGACUUCUAGUCGGGGGAACUGACUGAUCCCACGCUGACGAGAAAAGCUUCGAGUGUUUUUACAGGGUGAUCGUACUAUAAACCGACACAGGUGGACAGGUAGAGAAUACUAAGGCGCGCGAGAGAACUCUCGCUAAGGAACUCGGCAAAAUGGUUUCGUAACUUCGGGAGAAGAAACGCCCUAGUAGAGUGUCAAAGCUCGAAUGGGUCACAGAAACCAGACUCUUGCAACUGUUUAACAAAAACACAGGUCUCUGCAAACCAGAAAUGGGAAGUAUAGGGGCCGAUGCCUGCCCAGUGCUGGAAGGUUAAGGGGCGAGCUGAGAUUAUAUCAAGGUUCAAACCGAAGCCCCAGUGAACGGCGGCCGUAACUAUAACGGUCCUAAGGUAGCGAAAUUCCUUGUCGGGUAAACAUUGGUCGGUCUUUUUCAUAUUUUGAAAAAGAUUACUUGCCCGAAUUAAGUAGUGAUACUUAAUAAGUAAACCAACUCAUAACGGUGAACCCUAAGUUGUGAAAGCAAUAUGGGAAUACCGCGGGAACCAUUAACCAUAAAAGGUAUAUGGACCUGUAACGACUGAUCCGAAAGGAGAGGUUUCUUGUUAUAAUGCAAGGAACAACACGUUGGCUCUUGUUAAGAAAGAGGGUGUCAUGGAUUUUGCAUCGUUUAUUUCUGGUUUUGUUGAUGGAGAAGGAUGUUUUUCUGUUUCUUUUAACUGGCGUUUAAAACUUACGCUAGGAAUAGAAGUAAGGCCAUCUUUUUCAAUAAGCCAGAACAAAAGAAGUUUGGAAAUUCUAAAUAAAAUACAAAAGUAUUUUAAUUGUGGAGGAAUAAGCUUUUCAAAAAAAGAUCAAACUUAUAAGUAUGAAGUAAGAUCUAUUGAAGAUUUAAUAAGAAAAAUUAUUCCACAUUUUGAAAAAUAUCCACUUCAAAGCAAUAAAAAAAAUGACUUUGAAAGUUUUGUAUUUAUUUGUUGUAAAGUUUUUAAUAAUCAACAUCAGAAUGUAAAUUAUUUAGAGCAGAUUAUUGAAAAAGCUUUUAAAAUGAAUCCAGGCGGAAAAAGAAAAAUAACGAAGGCAGAACUCCUAAAACACCUAGACAAGAUGAAGGUAUAGUCUGAUUCUAGUUGAAAGACUAAGACAAAAUGAAGUUCCGACCCGCACGAAAGGCGUAACGACUUGAGCACUGUCUCAACGAGAGGCUCGGUGAAAUUGGAUUAUCAGUGAAGAUACUGAUUACCUGCAGAAGGACAGAAAGACCCCGUGGAGCUUUACUGUAACUUGGCUUUGAGUUUCGAAAUAAUUUGUGCAGGAUAGGUGGGAGGCUAUGAGAUCGCGACGCUAGUUGCGAUGGAGCCAUCCUUGAGAUACCACCUUAAUUCUUUUGGAGUUCUAACCACAUACUGUGAAACCAGUUGUGGAACAGAGUCUGGUGGGCAGUUUGACUGGGGCGGUCGCCUCCUAAACGGUAACGGAGGUGUCCAAAGGUACCCUCAGAGCGGUCGGAAAUCGCUUGUAGAGUGCAAGAGCAGAAGGGUGCUUAACUGUGAGGCAUACACGCCAAGCAGGAACGAAAGUUGGGUCUAGUGAUCCGACGACACUGAAUGGAAGGGUCGUCGCUCAACGGAUAAAAGUUACCCCGGGGAUAACAGGCUUAUCUCCCCCAAGAGUUCACAUCGACGGGGAGGUUUGGCACCUCGAUGUCGGCUCGUCGC
Molecule: ribosomal RNA, 3312 nt
Filed under: Candidatus Margulisiibacteriota bacterium
Lineage: Bacteria; Bacillati; Candidatus Margulisiibacteriota
Description: partial 23S ribosomal RNA
Rfam family: Bacterial large subunit ribosomal RNA
Source: RNAcentral